Long non-coding RNA from Oryctolagus cuniculus (rabbit), 73 nucleotides. It matches the Rfam family "Six3os1 conserved region 3". The record is from Rfam. Lineage: Eukaryota; Metazoa; Chordata; Mammalia; Lagomorpha; Leporidae.
AGAAUCCAUCUGGGGUUGCGGCUCCGAAGCUGUGCGAAGUGGGCACACAAAACCAAAAGCCAGAGUUGGGAAA